AGAGUUUGAUCCUGGCUCAGGAUGAACGCUGGCUGUGUGCCUAAUGCAUGCAUGUCGUGCGAAGUACUUGUACUUAGCGGCAAAUAGGUGAGUAACACGUACCUAACCUGCCUUUAGGAUUGGGAUAACUGGAGGAAACUCCGGCUAAUACCGAAUAUGUUAAAGUCUCGCAUGGGACUUUAAUCAAAGGAGCGUUUGCUCCGCCUAGAAAUGGGGGUGCGCUACAUUAGGUAGUUGGUAGGGUAAAGGCCUACCAAGCCGAUGAUGUAUAGCGGGGUUGAGAAGCUGAUCCGCCACACUAGGAUUGAGAUACGGCCUAGACUUCUACGGAAGGCAGCAGCAGGGAAUUUUCCACAAUGAGCGAAAGCUUGAUGGAGCGACACAGCGUGCAGGAUGAAGGUCUUAGGAUUGUAAACUGCUGUUGUGAGGGAAGAACAGCCGGGGGAGGAAAUGCCUCCGGUUUGACGGUACCUCACCAGAAAGCACCGGCAAACUAUGUGCCAGCAGUCGCGGUAAUACAUAGGGUGCAAGCGUUAUCCGGAUUUAUUGGGCGUAAAGCGUUCGUAGGUGGUAUGUUAAGUCUAGAGUUAAAGCCUAAAGCUCAACUUUAGUCCGCUUUGGAUACUAGCAUACUAGAGUCAUGAAGAGGUUACUGGAACUCCAUGUGAAGCGGUGGAAUGCGUAGAUAUAUGGAAGAACACCAAUGGCGAAGGCAACUAACUGGUCAUGUACUGACACUGAGGGACGAAAGCGUGGGGAGCAAAUAGGAUUAGAUACCCUAGUAGUCCACGCCGUAAACGAUGCUCGUUAGUUGGUGGCAGAGUCACUAGCGCAGUUAACACGUUAAACGAGCCGCCUGAGUAGUAUGCUCGCAAGAGUGAAACUUAAAGGAAUUGACGGGGACCCGCACAAGCGGUGGAGCAUGUGGUUUAAUUCGAAGCUACGCGAAGAACCUUACCCACUCUUGACAUCCUUGGCAAUGCUAUAGAGAUAUAGCGGAGGUUAACCAAGUGACAGGUGGUGCAUGGCUGUCGUCAGCUCGUGUCGUGAGAUGUUAGGUUAAGUCCUGUAACGAGCGCAACCCUCAUCCUUAGUUACUAACAUUUAGUUGAGCACUCUAGGGAGACCGCCGGGGUAACCCGGAGGAAGGCGAGGACGACGUCAGGUCAUCAUGCCUCUUACGAGUGGGGCGACACACGUGCUACAAUGGCAAGUACAAAGAGAAGCAAUACGGUGACGUGGAGCAAAACUGGAAAACUUGUCUCAGUUCGGAUUGAAGUCUGCAACUCGACUUCAUGAAGUCGGAAUCGCUAGUAAUCGUAGGUCAGACAUACUACGGUGAAUACGUUCUCGGGUCUUGUACACACCGCCCGUCACACCAUGGGAGUUGGUAAUACCCAAAGUCGGUAGAUUAACUUCGGAGAUCGCCGCCUAAGGUAGGACCGAUGACUGGGGUGAAGUCGUAACAAGGUAUCCCUACGAGAACGUGGGGCUGGAUCACCUCCUUA
RNAcentral lists this ribosomal RNA (1508 nucleotides) under uncultured bacterium. RNAcentral describes it as "SSU rRNA". It matches the Rfam family "Bacterial small subunit ribosomal RNA". The record is from RNAcentral.